Pongo abelii (Sumatran orangutan) is the source of this 117-nucleotide unclassified non-coding RNA. It matches the Rfam family "Metazoan signal recognition particle RNA". Rfam says of the family: The signal recognition particle (SRP) is a universally conserved ribonucleoprotein. It is involved in the co-translational targeting of proteins to membranes. The eukaryotic SRP consists of a 300-nucleotide 7S RNA and six proteins: SRPs 72, 68, 54, 19, 14, and 9. Lineage: Eukaryota; Metazoa; Chordata; Mammalia; Primates; Hominidae. The record is from Ensembl.
GCCGGGUGUGGUGGUUCACGCCUGUAAUCCCAGCACCUUGGGAGGCCGAGGUGGGCGGAUCACCUGAGGUCAGGAGUUCGAGAAAAGCCUGGCUAACAUGGUGAAACCCCAUCUCUA